Pseudopipra pipra is the source of this 3284-nucleotide long non-coding RNA. RefSeq lists it as uncharacterized. NCBI's taxonomy places the organism in Eukaryota, Metazoa, Chordata, Aves, Passeriformes, Pipridae. The record is from RefSeq and is a predicted model, not a curated record. The transcript has 3 exons.
AUUUCUUAGAUGAGUUACACCAACAAUCUAUAUGCUUUGUUUUGUGUUACUGGUAAGCAACAAUCAGAAUUGGAAUAUUAUUCCUGAACUGUGUGCUGCCAAGUUGUUCUGGCAGCAGUGUUAAAGGUAAAGGCUAAAGCUAAGCCCUGGCUUCAAGAAGUGAAGGACAUAUGUGAUGCUGUGUGCAGAGGGACUGCAAUUGUGCUUGGUUUUGUCUCCUGGGAUGAGGCAGACAUGCCACUAAGGGGGGAAAGAAGACAAUGGAAAACUAUAAAGCUUGUAACAUCCUGAAGCCUAAUAGUCAUCACUGUAUAGAAUGAUCCGUUUCUGUGCUAUUCAUGUCACACCAGUGAUGUUUGUGAAGAUCAGGCAGAACGGUGUGGUUUGGGAAUUCUAAAUCAGACACUGAUUGUUUUGCAGUGCUCAUAUUUGUGUGUGUUUCAUCCCAGUAGGGCUACAGCAGGUGGCAAGAAUUAUUUGGAAUCAACAAAUGACAGGAACCUUUUGGCUUACGAGUCUAUACAAGAAUAUAUGUGAUUGUGAAAUAACCAUGUGUGAGGUGCUGGGCCUCACAGAAGAAAAGCUUAUGUUGAAAAGCUGGUUGGCAAGACUGCAAAUGAAGGACUGAUGUUUGUGGACCUCCCUAUGGGCUCUGGCUCACAUCAUGUUUACAAUUUUCUUAUGAUGAACUGGUAAUAUUCUAGUUAAGUGCAGAAAUGAUUUCACACUCAAUGGUAUAGUUAAUGUGAAAGUGGAUAAAAUUCUUUUAUAGCAUGGAGGCAAGAGAUAACCUGUACUAUCACUCCAUGAGGUGAAGGGGGAUUGACUGCAGUCAGGGGUAAACUGGGGCAGGACGGUUUGCUCCCGAUGAGGCCUGGAAUCUGUACAGAGAGUGCAAGCUUUCUGUGGGAGCGGUUGGUGAGACCAGGAUGUUGUCUGGUGUUGCAUCAAACUCCAGAUAUACAUUGCCUGUGAUGGCUCCUAACAGGCCUAUAAAUGUGUGACUGGCAGUCAACCACUUCAUACUAUAAAAGAUGAAUCCAGACUAUAAAAUUCUGAAAUGAGAAGUUCUGUUGUACUAGACUUUAUAUUUUGCAGAAAUUCCUGAGAUUCAUUGCGUUGUCCGAGCCCAUACGAUUGGACACACCUGUUCACCUGUCCAAACUUGGAAACUAGGUCUGCCAACCAGGAAAAGAUUAUCUCAAGUACUGUUGACUCCAAAAAUGACACUUCAUCAAUAUGCUGUUCGAGUCAUUCACCAGUGUCAUGGUCCAACCAUGGACCACGCGGUGGGAUGGAAUCCAACAGCCCCCAAGAGCUAGUUUGUCCCCUGAGGGUGCAGAGCAGCAGGGCCUCUUUCAGACCCAACUGUACCUUCCAGGAAGAUAUCAGCUAUACUUUGCUUUUUUGCUGACUUCUGUUUUAGAUGUCAAUGUGUGGACCACCCUGGCCAACGUGACGAAGACAGACGUGAUAUGUGUGUCCAUGGCAACUCCCACGAGUCCUUUUUGCACCUGUCUGGUUGGAGUACCUAUUGAUAACUACCGGUGGGGAACUCUGUAUAAUGAGACCGUGUUAGCAAACUGCAACUUGAUGCUUCUACCUAAACUAUAUGUCAGGUACCAAGGUUAAUGAAGGAGGAGUUGACAUUUUUCCUAGAGAUAUAUACCAGAACGCAUCAGCUUAGUGCAAUGAGACUCUGCAAAAACGAUUUAUUCCUGGAUCUGAUGCGAUAGGUCUCCCAAAUGAUCUGUUUCUCAUUUGUGGACAAAGAGCAUGGAAAAGUAUUCCAAGAAAAGCUGUAGUAAGCCCUUGUACCUUUGGACAAUUAACCUUUUUUCAUCCUCGCAGCGUAACCUUGCCUAAGCUAAGAAGACGCAGACGUGGCACACGGCGAUUUACUCUGGACUGUAACUCUGAUGUAGAGUUUUGGAAUAAGGCUGAAAGAAUAACUGCUAGUAUUAUAUCUCAGAUAGGGACUGCUCAUGCUUUGGCUUCUGUAAAUAAACUAGGAUGCUGGUUGGCUAAAGAAGCUAAUGCUACUUCUGCUGCUUUGAGUGCAUUGCUCACAGAUGUAGACUCUGUUAGACAUGCAAGUUUACAAAAUAGAGCUGCUAUUGAUUUUUUGUUGUUAGCCCAGGGACAUGGCUGUCAAGAUUUUGAGGGCAUGUGCUGCAUGAAUUUAAGUGAUCAUUCUGAAUCUGUUCAUGCUAGCAUCCAGAAAUUAAAAACCCUUACUCAACAAUUACAUGUUCGUGAUGAAUGGAACCUCUUUGGUGAUUGGAAAUGGGGAUGGCCCUGGUUACGAAAAGUGUUAAUAGGCUUGUCAAUAGUUGGAUGCAUAAUAACAUGCAUAUUGUGUAUGAUUCCCUGUAUACUAACAUGUGUACGUCGAAUGAUAAACACCAAGCUAAAUGCAUUGCAAUCUCGAGUAGUUCGUUAUCAUCCUCUUGCUACCAUUGAUCACGCGGUGGUAUGUAAGGGGGAUACUUUUGAAUUAGAUGAUCAAUGGAGCAUAGAGGCGUGAGAACGAGCUCAUAUUAGGAUGUGAAACCAGCUAGAGUAUGGUACAAUGUAACUUAUGGCAGAAGCUAAUUGUAAGGUCCAUUGUGCUUUUUAGCAAGUCAGCUUGAUAUCCCCUAUUAUCAGAGCUGAGUUCUUCCUUGGUUUUGCUACAUAUUGCAAGAUAGAUACAUCUACCCUUGAAACACAAUGGUAGAGGUCAUACAUAGGGGUGAGAAAGAUGAUGAUGGGAGGAAGAUGAUGUGGGCAGGGGUCGCUCGCCCCUUGCCCUACAAGUAGGGCAUGCGCAGACUGUUGCCAUGAGGUCAUGAUUAGGCGGUGUUUGGCUGCCAUUCAGGCAUCACCUUAUGCUACGUACUGGCCCUACGUAGUGUAAUGUGGAACUGAUAAAAAUGGGGUGUCGGGACUGCUGAGUUGAGCGAUACUCAUCCUACCACCGAGACUGUGUUGCUCCGCGGGGACGCCCGCUAAGCAUGGGUACCGACCAGCUGCUGCAGAUCCUGACAGCCCUGGCCUGUCUGUGUGGGUAAGCACAGGUUAUUGAUAGGAAGCAACUGAGAGAACAAACUUUUUAAUAUCCUUUUAGUGUUCCUUUAAUUCCCCUUUUAUGUUUAUAGUAUUUUUUCCUUUAGUCUCCCUUUUUACUAACCAAUAUCGUGUUAUCCAUAAUAUUGUGUCAAGAUCCUUUUUUGGUAUCCCUUUUCACUAGUUAAUACUGUAUGAAAUGCUGUUCGUAGUAUUUGUUUUAAUGCCACCCGAUA